RNAcentral lists this ribosomal RNA (468 nucleotides) under uncultured bacterium. RNAcentral's name for it is "partial 16S ribosomal RNA". It matches the Rfam family "Bacterial small subunit ribosomal RNA", at positions 28 to 507 of the family's 1533-position model. The record is from RNAcentral.
GAUGAACGCUGGCGGCGUGCUUAACACAUGCAAGUCGAACGGAAAGGCGCUGCUUUUGUGGGUUGCUCGAGUGGGGCGGGGGUGUGUAACACGUGAGUAUCAUGUCCUUGACUUUGGGAUAAAGUCAGGAAACUGCGGCUAAUACCGGAUAGGAGCUCCUGAAGCAUGGGGGGGGUUGGAAAGUUUCGGCCGUUGGGGAUGGACUCGCGGGUUAUCAGCUUGUUUGUGGGGUAGUGGCUUACCGAGGCUUUGACGGGUAGCCGGCCUGGGCGGGUGACCGGCCACAUUGGGACUGAGGUAAGGCACAGACGGCUACGGUGGGCAACAGGGGGGAAGAUUGCCCAAGGAGCGGAGGGCUAGUGCAGAAACUCCGCGGGUGGGAACACGCCCUUCGUGGUGUAAAACGCUUGCGCCUGUGACGAAGCGCGAGUGACGGUAACGGAAAAAGAAGCACCGGCUAACUACGUG